CUGAAUAUGCAGUUGUGAACAAGAAAAUUGUAACAGUGGGGACCAUUGAUGAUUCUCUUCUCUUUCACCGGUCUUUGAACGACGUGCACUUUGGCCACUCUUCUCUGCAAAAGAAGCCGAAGCCAAAGCCAUUUCUAAUACUCACAUCUUUGAGUGUGGAAGCAGAAAUGGAAGGAUUAAAAGCACCUUUCAAGGGUGUUGUGAACGAUCUUAGAGGAAGAGCGGUGUACUACAAAGAUGAUUGGACUUCUGGUCUCUAUUCAGGAACAGGGAUAUUGGCUCCAACUACUUAUAUAUUCUUUGCUUCUGCACUACCUGUUAUUGCCUUUGGCGAGCAGCUGAGUAGAGACACAGAUGGAAGCUUGAGCACGGUUGAAACACUGGCUUCUACAGCUAUUUGUGGAAUCAUACACUCAAUUUUGGGUGGCCAGCCUCUCCUAAUAGUAGGAGUUGCUGAACCCACUAUUAUUAUGUACACCUACUUGUACAACUUUGCAAAAGAUAGGGAUUCCUUGGGACGAGAACUCUUUUUAGCUUGGGCAGGAUGGGUUUGUGUAUGGACUUCUCUCUUGCUGUUUCUACUAGCAAUAUUCAAUGCAGCAAAUAUCAUCAAUAGAUUUACAAGGAUUGCUGGUGAGGUUUUUGGCAUGUUGAUCACAGUCUUGUUCAUUCAACAGGCAAUCAAGGGAAUGGUAAGUGAGUUUAAUGUUCCUAAAGAAGGAGACCCAACAUCAGAAAAGUACCAAUUUCACUGGCUGUAUGCAAAUGGAUUGUUGGGUAUUAUAUUCACCUUUGGCCUUCUCUAUACUUCUUUAAAAAGCAGAAGAGCAAGGUCAUGGCUAUAUGCAACAGGGUGGUUCAGAAGUUUCGUUGCAGACUAUGGUGUCCCUUUCAUGGUGGUGGUGUGGACAGGUCUAUCAUUCAUAGUACCAAGUAAAGUGCCUUCUGGAGUUCCAAGAAGACUCACUUCUCCUCUUGCUUGGGAGUCUACUUCUUUACAUCACUGGACAGUGAUCAAAGAUAUGGGGGACGUUUCUCCAGCAUAUAUUUUUGCUGCUUUCAUUCCUGCCUUAAUGAUAGCAGGGCUUUACUUCUUUGACCAUAGUGUUGCUUCUCAACUGGCACAACAGAAGGAAUUCAAUCUCAGGAAACCUUCUGCAUAUCACUAUGACAUAUUGUUGCUAGGAUUAACGACUUUGCUUUGUGGAUUAAUUGGCUUACCCCCUUCAAAUGGAGUUCUACCUCAAUCUCCUAUGCACACCAAGAGCCUGGCUGUUCUCAAGAAACAGUUGAUCCGAAGAAAGAUGGUUAAAAGUGCCAAGGAAAGCAUACGGCAGGAAGCUAGCAAAUCUGAAAUCUAUGGGAAGAUGCAAGCAGUGUUUAUAGAAAUGGAUAACUGUCCAGAUAAUCAUUCAGUUGUCAAAGAACUAGAGGAUUUGAAAGAGGUUGUCCUAAAUGGUGAAGACAAAGGACUCAACAAUAAGAGUACCUUUGAUCCUGAGAAACACAUUGAUGAAUAUUUGCCUGUCAGAGUAAAGGAGCAGAGAGUGAGCAAUCUUUUACAAUCACUCCUUGUAGGAGCAUCAGUCUUUGCUAUGCCUGCCAUAAAAAAGAUACCAGCUUCAGUUCUGUGGGGAUAUUUUGCAUACAUGGCCAUUGAUAGUCUUCCAGGAAACCAAUUCUGGGAAAGGAUACUACUUCUUUUUGUAACACCAAGUAGGUGGUACAAAUUGUUGGAAGGGGAUCAUGCUUCCUUUGUUGAGUCAGUACCUUACAGAUACCUAGUCUGCUUCACACUCUUCCAAUGUGUGUAUUUCUUGGUUUGUUUUGGAGUGACAUGGAUUCCCAUAGCUGGAAUACUGUUCCCCUUGCCUUUCUUUUUGCUCAUCACAUUGAGACAGCAUAUACUCCCCAAGCUGUUCAAGCCUCAUCAUCUUAGGGAACUAGACGCUGCUGAAUAUGAAGAAAUAGUUGCUGCUCCAGGACUAAGUUUCAACAAAUCUUUCAGGGAGGUGGAAUCACCCCGAAGAUCAAAGGAAAUGAAUAAUGCUGAAAUACUAGAUGAGUUAACUACUAACAGAGGGGAGUUGAAGGUCAGAACUGUGAGCUUUAGUGAGGAAAGAAAUCGCCAGGUGUACCCUGAUGAAAAUGGAUCCCCACCCUCAGAUUGUUAGGGAAAGCUGAUGAAUAAUCUGAUAUUAUAUGGCGAAUUUGGCAACCACACGAGCCACACAAGUAAUCAAUGAUAAUUUUUGAAAUCUAGACGCAAACGGCUGAGCACCUUGAAACGGUUGAGCGCUUUCAAGCUAGAGAGCUCAACAAAUGCAGCAAAGGAGAGGCGCUCAACCACUCUAAGGCGCUGAGCGGUUUUGGCCCUGGACGAAGGAGUGUUCUCUGCCUCCUAGGCGCUCAGCAGAUAUGAAGCGCCCAGUCCCUUGUGCUUGCUUAACAAUGAAGAAUCUCUCAGGCGCUCAGCGGAUUUGAACGGCCCAGCCCUUCAGAUUACUUCAUGGUGAAGAAUUCUUCAAACCGCUUAGCCGUUUCAAGGCGCUGAGCGGAUUCUUCUCUUUCCUGCCUACUCUGUUUUAAUUCUAGCACUUAUAAAAGGGCAGAGGAGAGAGAAAAGGGGGGAUCACAAUCUGUACGAAGAGAAGAACAGAGAGGAACUAGGAACAGAGCACUUUGGAGCUCGUGGGGACGCGAUUCUUCAGAUGAUCUCUUUCUUCUACCUUUCAUCUUGUUGUUUUGUGAUUUCUUAUACCAUGGAGAGCUAAAGCUCUAGGUUUGGGAUUAAUGUAUUCAUCAAACUCCUGUAUAUUCCUCUUUGAUUUAUAUAUAUAUCUCAUCUAUUACUCAA
This is an RNA transcript of Cajanus cajan (pigeon pea), 2857 nucleotides long. It is a transcript of the gene named boron transporter 4, with no coding region annotated. The record is from RefSeq and is a predicted model, not a curated record. NCBI's taxonomy places the organism in Eukaryota, Viridiplantae, Streptophyta, Magnoliopsida, Fabales, Fabaceae.